RNAcentral lists this ribosomal RNA (600 nucleotides) under uncultured Alphaproteobacteria bacterium. RNAcentral describes it as "bacterial SSU rRNA". It matches the Rfam family "Bacterial small subunit ribosomal RNA", at positions 54 to 699 of the family's 1533-position model. Lineage: Bacteria; Pseudomonadati; Pseudomonadota; Alphaproteobacteria. The record is from RNAcentral.
CAUGCAAGUCGAACGAAGUAGCAAUACUUAGUGGCAGACGGGUGAGUAACAUGUAGGUAUCUUCCCUUUGGCCUGGAAUAACACGAGGAAACUUGUGCUAAUACCGGAUAAGUCUUUACGGAGAAAGCUUUAUGCACCAUUGGAUGAGCCUGCACUUGAUUAGUUUGUUGGUGGGGUAAUGGCCUACCAAGACUAUGAUCAAUAGCUGAUUUGAGAGGAUGAUCAGCCACAUUGGGACUGAGACACGGCCCAAACUCCUACGGGAGGCAGCAGUGGGGAAUAUUGCACAAUGGAGGAAACUCUGAUGCAGCGAUGCCGCGUGAGUGAAGAAGGCCCUUGGGUUGUAAAGCUCUUUCGUCGGGGAAGAAAAUGACUGUACCCGAAUAAGAAGGUCCGGCUAACUUCGUGCCAGCAGCCGCGGUAAUACGAAGGGACCUAGCGUAGUUCGGAAUUACUGGGCUUAAAGAGUUCGUAGGUGGUUGAAAAAGUUGGUGGUGAAAUCCCAGAGCUUAACUCUGGAACUGCCAUCAAAACUUUUCAGCUAGAGUAUGAUAGAGGAAAGCAGAAUUUCUAGUGUAGAGGUGAAAUUCGUAGAUAUUA